RNAcentral lists this ribosomal RNA (460 nucleotides) under uncultured bacterium. Its description in RNAcentral is "partial 16S ribosomal RNA". It matches the Rfam family "Bacterial small subunit ribosomal RNA", at positions 338 to 795 of the family's 1533-position model. The record is from RNAcentral.
CCUACGGGUGGCAGCAGUGAGGAAUAUUGGUCAAUGGACGAGAGUCUGAACCAGCCAAGUAGCGUGAAGGAUGACUGCCCUACGGGUUGUAAACUUCUUUUAUAAAGGAAUAAAACGCGUUACGUGUGCCUCUUUGCAUGUACCUUAUGAAUAAGGACCGGCUAAUUCCGUGCCAGCAGCCGCGGUAAUACGGAGGAUCCGAGCGUUAUCCGGAUUUAUUGGGUUUAAAGGGAGCGUAGAUGGGUUGUUAAGCCAGCUGUGAAAUGUUGGGGCUCAACCGGGGAAUUGCAGUGGGUACUGGCAGUCUUGAGUACGGGGGAGGUAGGCGGAAUUCGUGGUGUAGCGGUGAAAUGCUUAGAUAUGACGAAGAACCCCGAUUGCGAAGGCAGCUUGCUGAACUGUAACUGACGUUGAUGCUCGAAAGUGUGGGUAUCGAACAGGAUUAGAUACCCUUGUAGUC